GCUCAACCGGGGAGGGUCAUUGGAAACUGGGGAACUUGAGUGCAGAAGAGGAGAGUGGAAUUCCACGUGUAGCGGUGAAAUGCGUAGAGAUGUGGGGAACACCAGUGGCGAAGGCGACUCUCUGGUCUGUAACUGACGCUGAGGCGCGAAAGCGUGGGGAGCGAACAGGAUUAGAUACCCUGGUAGUCCACGCCGUAAACGAUGAGUGCUAAGUGUUAGAGGGUUUCCGCCCUUUAGUGCUGCAGCAAACGCAUUAAGCACUCCGCCUGGGGAGUACGGUCGCAAGACUGAAACUCAAAGGAAUUGACGGGGGCCCGCACAAGCGGUGGAGCAUGUGGUUUAAUUCGAAGCAACGCGAAGAACCUUACCAGGUCUUGACAUCCUCUGACAACCCUAGAGAUAGGGCUUCCCCUUCGGGGGCAGAGUGACAGGUGGUGCAUGGUUGUCGUCAGCUCGUGUCGUGAGAUGUUGGGUUAAGUCCCGCAACGAGCGCAACCCUUGAUCUUAGUUGCCAGCAUUCAGUUGGGCACUCUAAGGUGACUGCCGGUGACAAACCGGAGGAAGGUGGGGAUGACGGCAAAUCAUCAUGCCCCUUAUGACCUGGGCUACACACGUGCUACAAUGGGCAGAACAAAG
This 636-nucleotide ribosomal RNA is filed under the name uncultured bacterium. RNAcentral describes it as "bacterial SSU rRNA". It matches the Rfam family "Bacterial small subunit ribosomal RNA", at positions 607 to 1244 of the family's 1533-position model. The record is from RNAcentral.